CAGAGAUGAACUUCGAUUAAGUUCGCAACGUCCUGUUGCAACAUCGAAGCCAACACAUCCUGUGUA
Molecule: small RNA, 66 nt
Filed under: Alkalihalophilus pseudofirmus OF4
Lineage: Bacteria; Bacillati; Bacillota; Bacilli; Caryophanales; Bacillaceae
Description: Bacillus pseudofirmus OF4 Bacillaceae-1 RNA
Rfam family: Bacillaceae-1 RNA
Source: Rfam by way of RNAcentral